Molecule: long non-coding RNA, 711 nt
Filed under: Calidris pugnax (ruff)
Lineage: Eukaryota; Metazoa; Chordata; Aves; Charadriiformes; Scolopacidae
Description: lncRNA (ENSCPUG00000000004.1)
Source: RNAcentral
ACAGAAAUGCCAUUUGAAAACAUUCUUACUACUUCAGAGCUUUCUUCACCGGGAAGCAUCGGGGUGCUCGGGAUGAUUUAAGCUUUCUGAAUGUUUCCAUUUCUUGUCAUCAUCUGCAGGACACAGCGAUCCCCGUCUCGUUUGUACGAAGGACACGAGGCAAAACAUGAUGGAAAGGAAAUCAUCUAAGGGCAAGGUAAUGGCUUUUGAAGCUUCUGCCUCUCUUGGAAGGAAAACUCUAUCGUGUGUAGACUUGAAAGCAUGGAUUUUCACGAGCUGUGCCAAGUUCCUGCAGGAGGUUUCCCAUCAGAGGGAACGUUGGGAGACUUGGCCAACAAAUCCCAUCUCCCAGCCCCGCUGCCGUGUCGGAUGGUACCUGUGUCGCUGCUGGAGCCUCCUCAGUCUGUGAGUACCAGCAGCACAACCUCAUCCAGGGUACUUCAGGUACCGCGACAGGACGUUGCUGAAACCCUUCACAGCUGUGGGUGCCCCAGCUCUUGCAUCCUGUGUUGCAGCAGAGCCUCUGUGCAGAUGGGACACCCAGAGAGCAUGUCCCCAGCGUCCUCCCGGGCUCUGGCUCCCACCUCGUGCUCUGUCUCCUGGUGAGAAGGUCACCAUCCUGUGCCCUCUGAAUACAGAUAGGAGCGAAUCAUGGAAACGUACUCAAUUUGUUGUAUUUCAUUAUUGUACACAGAUAUUUUUUUGCCUGAC